RNAcentral lists this long non-coding RNA (261 nucleotides) under Ananas comosus (pineapple). RNAcentral describes it as "long non-coding RNA (ACOM_LNC016531)". Lineage: Eukaryota; Viridiplantae; Streptophyta; Magnoliopsida; Poales; Bromeliaceae. The record is from RNAcentral.
CGCAUACGAAAUACUUUUGGUAUACAAAUGGUAUACAAAAAUUUCUUCUUUUCUUAAUUAUAGUAUAGUUUAUUAUAGUUAUUCCAUAUACGCCCUCCUGCUUUUUUGUUUUAUUCUAUGGGAGUCGCCACGACAAAGGAAGGAGGAAAUAGAAUAAUCUAACAUGUUUUGUUCGAAUAAACAUUCCAAAAGACUUCAGUUGUAUUAAAAAAGGAAUUAGCAAGUUCCUCCCCCCAUGCCGAGAAAACAUUUAUUCUUUAU